RNAcentral lists this ribosomal RNA (494 nucleotides) under uncultured prasinophyte. RNAcentral's name for it is "SSU rRNA". It matches the Rfam family "Eukaryotic small subunit ribosomal RNA", at positions 716 to 1214 of the family's 1831-position model. Lineage: Eukaryota; Viridiplantae; Chlorophyta. The record is from RNAcentral.
UUCUGGCCUUCAUUAUCGGACGCACAGUCCGCCCCCUUACUUUGAAAAAUUAGAGUGUUCAAAGCAGGCUUUCGCUCCCUACAUUAGCAUGGAAUAACAUGUUAGGACUCCGGUUCCAUUAUGUUGGUCUUCGGGACUGGAGUAAUGAUUAAGAGGGACAGUUGGGGGCAUUCGUAUUUCAUUGUCAGAGGUGAAAUUCUUGGAUUUGUGAAAGACGAACUUCUGCGAAAGCAUUUGCCAAGGAUGUUUUCAUUAAUCAAGAACGAAAGUUGGGGGCUCGAAGAUGAUUAUAUUCCUUCGUAGUCUCAACCAUAAACAAUGCCGACUAGGGAUUGGCGGAUGUUUUUUGAUGACUUCGCCAGCACCUUGUGAGAAAUCAAAGUCUUUGGGUUCCGGGGGGAGUAUGGUCCCAGGGCUGAAACUUAAAGGAAUUGACGGAAGGGCACCACCCUGGCGUGGAGCCUGCGGUUUAAUUUGACUCAUCACGGGGAAAC